Molecule: ribosomal RNA, 490 nt
Filed under: uncultured bacterium
Lineage: Bacteria
Description: bacterial SSU rRNA
Rfam family: Bacterial small subunit ribosomal RNA
Source: RNAcentral
GGCUCAGAUUGAACGCUGGCGGCAUGCCUUACACAUGCAAGUCGAACGGCAGCACGGGGCAACCUGGUGGCGAGUGGCGAACGGGUGAGUAAUGCAUCGGAACGUGCCAUUGAGUGGGGGAUAACGUAGCGAAAGUUGCGCUAAUACCGCAUAUUCUGUGAGCAGGAAAGCAGGGGACCGCAAGGCCUUGCGCUCUUUGAGCGGCCGAUGUCAGAUUAGCUAGUUGGUGAGGUAACGGCUUACCAAGGCGACGAUCUGUAGCGGGGUCUGAGAGGAUGAUCCGCCACACUGGAACUGAGACACGGUCCAGACUCCUACGGGAGGCAGCAGUGGGGAAUUUUGGACAAUGGGCGCAAGCCUGAUCCAGCCAUGCCGCGUGAGUGAAGAAGGCCUUCGGGUUGUAAAGCUCUUUCGGCCGGGAAGAAAUCGCAUGGGUUAAUACCCUGUGUGGACGACGGUACCGGAAUAAGAAGCACCGGCUAACUACGUG